RNAcentral lists this long non-coding RNA (2053 nucleotides) under Volvox carteri. RNAcentral's name for it is "long non-coding RNA (VCAR_LNC003274)". The record is from RNAcentral. Lineage: Eukaryota; Viridiplantae; Chlorophyta; Chlorophyceae; Chlamydomonadales; Volvocaceae.
GGCGCCCAGCGCGGUACCGAGAGCGGCAACUAUGUCUGGUGCGGCGGUUGCUGGGCCGGACAUCGCUGCAAUGUUACUCCAGAUGCAACAAGACCUGGCCGGGGUCCGCGCGCGCCUAAAUAGUCAAGGUGCGACCUCGGGUCCGGAAUACGAUUUGCGCGCGCUGACGGAGGAUUUUGCGUCGCCUCAAGUGCAGCGCUCUCCAGCCGGGUCGCGGUUUCCGUUUCCCGACUAUGUUCUGCACAAUUUGCCGGGAACCAUGACGGUGGAUAAUCUGGUUUUGCAUAAUUUUCGGGCAAUACCUGAGUGGCAGGAGUUAGAGCACUCGCAGAGGGGUCAUCCUGAUCGUGCGGGCUCGUUAGUUUAUGAGUUUAGCAUUCUGAUUACUUUGCUUGGCGUCUUGGAGAUGGUGCGGUCCGGUUUGACUAUGAUUCGCCGCUUUUUCGGAUAUUCAAAUUUACCUCAAGAGUGGGUUGUCGCCCUGACCUGCGCCUCUGAUACCUUGCUGUAUGAUGUGGCUUGGAUGCAUAACCUUAUUUCGGCCCGUAUCAAUUGUUUGGUGGAAUUUAGCCGUAGGGGCCGUGAUGGCCUCGUUGCCCUGCACCAGCGUUACUUUGCGCCUUCGGAGCGGCCGCUGGUGGAUGCUGUUACCCGUGAGUUUGACGAGGAGUAUGCUAAGCAGCGGGCAAAAGUGACUCUUAAGGUCCUGGCAGAAAGGGAGGCCCGUAGGCAUCAGGGCAAUGGCGGUCUGUUUCAGGCCCCAGGUCGGGGCCAGGGUGGUGGCCUGCGCCGGGGUCGUGGAGGUGGCCGGGGCGGUUUUCCGCCUGCUCGUGCUGUUGCGGCAGCUGGUAGCGCCCAACCCCCGGUGGGUUCGGGCCAGGCCCACUAAAACAUGUCGUCGCAUUCCGCUGCACCCCUGCAUGCACGCGUCACCUCGCGGUUGGCUGCUUGGAAAGCCAUUGGUGCCGAUGCCCGCACGUUGCACGUGUUGAAGCAUGGUGUUCCGGUUGAGUUCCUGGGAGAUCGUCCGCCGCCUGCGUUUGAUCUGCCCAGUUUCCCGGUCACUAUUGAGCAGAGCCGUUGGUGGUGGANNNNNNNNNNNNNNNNNNNNNNNNNNNNNNNNNNNNNNNNNNNNNNNNNNGCCGGCGAUCCGUGUCCUCAGGAUCGUCUUUUGCAUAAAUAGCGCGUGUUGCAGGUUUUCUGUAUCUUGUUUUUGUUGUUCAGCACGCGCUGAACAACGAGGCAGGUCCCGCGCCUUCGGCGCGCUUUCUGUUUUUUUCCGCUGUGCUUUCAGCUCUUCAGCAAGACCCAUCGGGUAGAGUGCCCUGAUUGAAGGAGCACCAUUAUCGCUCCGUCGUCAUCGUCUUGAAGAUCAUGGCAACCGUAGCAGUAUCCGUCCAAGCCGUUUUAGCGGUUUUUGUCGUUUUCUGCGGCGUUGCUGGCGCCAUGAUGCCGGGCCAAUAUGGUUCCCAGCCCCCUUCCCCAUAUAUGCAAGGUCUGCUGGGUGGCGGCGCUACGCCGCUAGGAGGCGGAAUGGCGCCCAGCGCGGUACCGAGAGCGGCAACUAUGUCUGGUGCGGCGGUUGCUGGGCCGGACAUCGCUGCAAUGUUACUCCAGAUGCAACAAGACCUGGCCGGGGUCCGCGCGCGCCUAAAUAGUCAAGGUGCGACCUCGGGUCCGGAAUACGAUUUGCGCGCGCUGACGGAGGAUUUUGCGUCGCCUCAAGUGCAGCGCUCUCCAGCCGGGUCGCGGUUUCCGUUUCCCGACUAUGUUCUGCACAAUUUGCCGGGAACCAUGACGGUGGAUAAUCUGGUUUUGCAUAAUUUUCGGGCAAUACCUGAGUGGCAGGAGUUAGAGCACUCGCAGAGGGGUCAUCCUGAUCGUGCGGGCUCGUUAGUUUAUGAGUUUAGCAUUCUGAUUACUUUGCUUGGCGUCUUGGAGAUGGUGCGGUCCGGUUUGACUAUGAUUCGCCGCUUUUUCGGAUAUUCAAAUUUACCCUCAGAGUGGGUUGUCGCCCUGACCUGCGCCUCUGAUACCUUGCUGUAUGAUGNNN